RNA transcript from Diceros bicornis minor, 2684 nucleotides. It is a transcript of the gene named potassium voltage-gated channel subfamily A regulatory beta subunit 3, with no coding region annotated. The record is from RefSeq and is a predicted model, not a curated record. Lineage: Eukaryota; Metazoa; Chordata; Mammalia; Perissodactyla; Rhinocerotidae. The transcript has 13 exons.
CCCCAAGGCCCGGGCCGCACUGGUACCCCGACCCCCAGCACCUGCUGGGGCCCUCCGAGAGAGCACCGGCAGAGGCACUGGCAUGAAAUACAGGUAUGGGGGCGGCCGGGCAGCCCGCCCCAUCUGCUCCCCUUUCCUGACCUCUGAGGCUUCUUGGGAUGCCGCCAGAACCCCCUCAAACUUCGCUAAAAAGGUCCCAGCUCAUUCCAUCUCUUCAACUCAUGACAGCACUCCCUUACUUGGUCCCUUCCUUGGUCACCAUCGAUAACCCUGACUAGGAGAAAAUCAAGUUUACCAAGGUUGACAAGGUCCUGUCACACCCAGGGGAUACUCCUAAGCUUCCCUCCUUACCCCCGGGAAGGCCAGAGAUGCUGGGAUCUCCAGGCUGCGCUCCCCUGCGCCCCCAUAAAUUGUCCUUGGGCCGGUGUCCUGGGAAGAAGGGAGGAAGGAAACAGCUUCUCACUCUGGCCUACUCAGGGUGCUGACCCAGAUACUGCCCCACCUGCCCCAAGAGCCCCGGUAUCCUGCGACCUUUCUUGGUGGGGAGGGAAUGGGGCCCUGGGAAGGAUGGACCACAUCUCUCAACCCAGUACUGAGGAACAGGGCCCCAGUGGGGAAGGUAGACUGAAAUGUAACUGACUUUGUCUCAGAAAACCACUGGGCUCUCAGAACUCACAGAGGGGAGAUGGGAGGGACUCCUGUUUGGAAGUGAGCAGAGGUCACUCAUCUGACCUGGCUUUGUCACUUGAGGACUUGGAUCCCCUCCAUGUGGCAACCCUGAUUGGGAAGCUGAGCCGACUACCUGGGUGAGAGGCCUUGGGAGGAGGGGGCUUUCUGGUUCGGAGACAGACUUCACAAGCCAACAGAAGCAGGAGUGGAGAGGGGAAGAGGGAAAAUUGUCAUACUCUCCACCCAGGUGUCCCACCUGCCUUUGUUGGUGGCCCAUCUGCCUAGCCUAUCUAAGGACCCUUGCCUGCCUGAGUGUCUGAACUUGAUUUGGUUUACCCGCUCCACCCCGAUGUCUGCCCUUUAGCAUAGCACUUUCUAUCUGAGGGUCUGUUUUCACAAACUCAUCACAAUCAGCUAGUCACAUUCCUCCCAGCCCCUGACUCCACAUAUCCCAGAGAUGACUCAAACACAGACAAGCCCCACCUGAAGAAACACAAACCAGGCAGCACAUCUUUAGUGUGAUAGGAGGGAACAGAGGCAUUGGACAGUGGCUUCAGAGGAACAGUCAUUUAUUUGUUCACUUGAGCUACAGCCAUAGCACUGCCCAAUUCGGUAGGCCCACUGGGUCUAGUUUCUUUGGACGGAGACACCCUGACGCUUCUCAGUCUGGAGGGAGAGGAGCUGGGGGCUGAUAAUCUAUGUCCCUAAUGGAAGCCCCACCCCUUCCUGCUCCUUCUGUAUCGUGCAGGAACCUAGGGAAGUCUGGUCUUCGGGUAUCCUGUCUUGGCCUAGGUACCUGGGUCACAUUUGGUUCUCAGAUCUCAGAUGAGACAGCAGAGGAUGUGCUGACAGUAGCCUAUGAGCAUGGUGUAAACCUGUUUGACACCACCGAAGUGUACGCAGCAGGAAAGGCUGAAAGAACCCUAGGCAACAUCCUCAAGAACAAAGGUUGGAGGAGAUCAAGCUAUGUCAUCACCACCAAGAUUUUUUGGGGAGGACAGGCAGAAACUGAGCGAGGAUUGAGCCGCAAACACAUUAUUGAAGGCUUGCGAGGAUCCCUGGAACGCCUCCAGCUGGGAUAUGUGGACAUCGUCUUUGCCAAUCGCUCAGACCCCAACAGUCCCAUGGAGGAGAUUGUGCGAGCCAUGACCUACGUCAUCAACCAGGGCAUGGCCCUAUACUGGGGGACAUCCCGAUGGGGGGCUGCAGAAAUCAUGGUGAGUGUGCCACCCCACUUCCCCCUGUCUCACAACUGGUUCCCACUUUUCACAUGGCCACUCCAAACCCCACUCUACUGGAGGAGGGAGAGUGGAAGAAAAUGGAGAGAGUGCUCUGACCCCCAUUUCUUCCCCACCUCAACCCAGGAGGCCUACUCCAUGGCCAGACAGUUCAAUCUGAUUCCUCCAGUGUGUGAACAAGCUGAGCACCAUCUGUUUCAGAGAGAGAAGAUGGAGAUGCAGCUGCCAGAGCUCUACCACAAGAUUGGUGUUGGCUCAGUCACCUGGUCCCCUCUGGCCUGUGGCCUUAUCACCAGCAAGUAUGAUGGACAAGCCCCAGAUACCUGCAGGGCCACCAUCAAAGGCUACCAGUGGCUCAAAGACAAAGUGCACAGUGAGGAUGGCAAGAAGCAACAAGCCAAAGUCAUGGACCUUCUCCCCAUCGCCCACCAGCUGGGCUGCACUGUGGCACAGCUUGCUAUUGCGUGGUGUCUCCACAGUGAGGGUGUCAGCUCCGUCUUGCUGGGGGUAUCCAGUGCAGAGCAGCUGAUAGAACACCUGGGCGCCCUACAGCUGGGAGAGCAGAGUAAAACCAAUUUCCAAAAGAGAGAAGUCGGCAGCAUGCCAUUUACUGGGUUAGCAACCAACUGGAUCAACUAAUGAACACUUACAUCCACUCCUGUCAUCUCCCACUCAUUUGGGAAGACUGUGGAGGAAACAAAAAGGAUGAAGGCAGGCUUGGAGGGAGUAGAGGGUGGUGUUCCUCCCACCGCCCCAGUCCCGGCAGCACUUGCGCCA